UGAGUAAGGCGACGGUAACCAACCCCACAAAUGGGCAUAGCCGCGGGAAACUGCGGGUAAUUCCCAGCGAUGUCAGUGAAGGGCAUCCUUCAUUGACCAAAGUUCCGGCGUUGUGGGACGGGCCGUUGUGGUAUUAGCUUGUUGGCGGGGUGACGGCCCACCAAGGCUGCGAUGCCUACCGGGCGUGCGAGCGUGGCCCGGCACACUGGGACUGAGACACUGCCCAG
This 227-nucleotide ribosomal RNA is filed under the name uncultured bacterium. RNAcentral describes it as "partial 16S ribosomal RNA". It matches the Rfam family "Bacterial small subunit ribosomal RNA", at positions 107 to 334 of the family's 1533-position model. The record is from RNAcentral.